RNAcentral lists this ribosomal RNA (447 nucleotides) under uncultured bacterium. RNAcentral's name for it is "partial 16S ribosomal RNA". It matches the Rfam family "Bacterial small subunit ribosomal RNA", at positions 29 to 523 of the family's 1533-position model. The record is from RNAcentral.
AGCGAACGCUGGCGGCAGGCUUAACACAUGCAAGUCGAACGCCCCGCAAGGGGAGUGGCAGACGGGUGAGUAACACGUGGGAACGUACCCUUUGGUUCGGAAUAACUUGGGGAAACUCAAGCUAAUACCGGAUAAGCCCUUAUGGGGAAAGGUUUACUGCCGAAGGAUCGGCGCGCGUCUGAUUCGCUCGUUGGUGAGGUAAUGGCCCACCAAGGCGACGAUCAGUAGCUGGUCUGGGAGGAUGAUCAGCCACACUGGGACUGAGGCACGGCCCAGACUCCUACGGGAGGCAGCAGUGAGGAAUAUUGGACAAUGGGGGCAACCCGGAUCCAGCCAUGCCGCGUGAGUGAUGAAGGCCUUAGGGUUGUAAAGCUCUUUUACCCGGGACGAUAAUGACUGUACCGGGAGAAUAAGCCCCGGCUAACUUCGUGCCAGCCGCCGCGGUAA